This 349-nucleotide ribosomal RNA is filed under the name uncultured soil bacterium. RNAcentral describes it as "bacterial SSU rRNA". It matches the Rfam family "Bacterial small subunit ribosomal RNA", at positions 26 to 387 of the family's 1533-position model. The record is from RNAcentral.
AGAUUGAACGCUGGCGGCAUGCCUAACACAUGCAAGUCGAACGGGAGUAGCAAUACUCUAGUGGCGGACGGGUGAGGAAUACGUAGGAAUUUGCCCCUUAAGUGGGGGAUAACCCGGGGAAACCCGGAUUAAUACCGCAUGACCUCGAAAGAGCAAAGUGGGGGAUCGCAAGACCUCACGCUUUUGGAGAAGCCUACGUCGGAUUAGCUAGUUGGUGAGGUAAUGGCUCACCAAGGCGACGAUCCGUAACUGGUCUGAGAGGAUGAUCAGUCACACCGGAACUGAGACACGGUCGGACUCCUACGGGAGGCAGCAGUGGGGAAUAUUGGACAAUGGGCGCAAGCCUGAU